CUAGCUAUUCACAAAAUACUUAGGGGGCAUUCUCUUUUCCAUUUUCCAGCCAUUUCUCUUUUUAGUUUUCGAAAAUGCCCAAAACGCGUUUGGUACGUCAUUUCUAAAAAUGCAUUUCGGAAAACAAGAAAAAACUUAUAACUGAAAAUGGAGAACGGUUUUUUUUUUUUUCAUUUUCGAUGUUUUUAGUUGAAAAUGCUCAAAAUGCCCAAAACACUCGAAAGGCGCUGAAAACACACUACAAUAAAAAUUCUAUUCAAAACAAUAGAAACUUGGCCCUUUUCUCACGAUUCCUCUCUCCUCUCUCACUUCACUCGACGCCUUCUCCAAAUCAGCCCGCACGACGACGUCCUCCGUCCGGCACCACUCCGACGAGGUCCUACAAUCUGGCGAGCAGGUACGUAAUAUUCCUCAAAACUUGCUUGGAAACCCUUUUUUUUUUUUUUUUUUGUAUUUUUGGGCAUCUUGUUCUUGAUUUUGGUGGUUUUUAUUGCUGAUUUUUUCUGAGAUUUGUGUGUAAAAAAUUACCAAGUUUGUCCUGUGGAAGCAAAUAGCAAUUUGGUGGUGUCAAUUGCUGGUUUGUAUGGAAAGUGUGGGAGAAUUAAGUCGGGGUUGCUUGUUUUCGAUAAAAUGGGGAAGAAGAAUUUGUUCACAUGCUAGUGGGAGAAUUGAGUCAGGGAGCUCUUCUUACUGGUAGUAGAGCCCAUGGAAGUGGUUAUUCAGCUGGAGAAAGGGCUUGUGAGUGUUUAAUCAUAGUUGGAACGUGGGGUGUUGAUGUUGAUUGAUUGGGAAACAAUGAGGGAAAAGAGGAAAACAUUUUGAGUUAAUGAUAAUAUAUUUCCAUUAAAGUUAGUUUGGGGAAAUUAAGUUCAAUGUUUGUGGAAAUGGAUUACAAUUUGAAACUGCCCAAAAUGGAUUAUACAUAUUAAAUUAAGAUUAUCACUACCAAUUGGAUGUUGGGUGAAGAAAAUGAGGACCUCGUGCAUUUUUGCCUUUCCUUUUUGUUUUUGCCAUAUUAAUAUUGCUUUGCAAAAUAGAUGGGAAAAAAUAAAAAUAAAAAUCUUUCUUUUCCUGUUUCUCGCUCUGCAGAGCAUUGGUGGAGUACAAUAUGAUAUAGUGUGUGUGUGUGUGUUAGCGAUGUCAAUGGCUCGGCUCGGCUCGUUACCCUACGAGCUCGGCUCGUGCUCCCGAGCCAGAGCCGAGCUCGGCUCGUCAAAAAAAAAAAGGAGCUCGGCUCGGCCCACGAGCUCGUGGGUGGGGACGAGCCGAGCUCGGCCCGUGAGCUCCUUUUUUAAUUUUUAUAUACGUUUUCUUUCUAAAUAUUUUUCAAAAAAUACAAUUUUGAUAAAUUUUUAUCUUAUAAGUAUUUUUAUUUUGUAAACAAUUUAUUUAGAUAAAGGAUGUUUUACUAAUAACUUAUAAUUUAUAAGUAAUUUUAAUUAUAAUGUAUUUUUUUAUGAUUUUAUCUUGUAAAUAAUACUUACUUAUAACUUAUAAGUUUUUUUAAUUAUAAUUUAAUUUUUUACUUAUAAUUUAUAAAUAAUUUUUAGUUAAUAUAUUUUAAUUUUCAAGUUUAUUUUGAAGAAAACAUAUUGAUUGAAAAUCAUUAUUUUAUAAAUGAUAAAAUUAAAUAUGAUAUGAGAAAUUGUAAAAUGAUUUUUCAAAAUAUUUUUUCUUUUUAAAAUAAUAAAAAUAAUAAAAUAUAAACCCUCCUUCUUUAUCCGGGUUAGGGACCGGUUACUUCAAUAGUUUUUAUUUCGAGUAGGCGGAGUUAAAAAUUGUACACGAACAACUUGUUACGUGUACAAUUUUUUUUAAAAAAUUAUAAAGGUAUUAAAAUAAAAAUUCGUCAUAAAUAUAAUUAAACUAAAUAUCACUUACUUGACUACAUGCAAUUUCGGCAUAUUUAUUUUGCAGUCGAAAAUGAGCAUCUUGCCAGUCCUUUACGCACAUUAAUGCUUCCAAAAUAUCUUCUUUUAGUCGAUUCCUAAUAUCAGAGAGAACCCUAGACCCUGCACUAAAAGCAGAUUCCGAAGCUACAGUGCUAACCGAAGGUGUUAGUAGAUCUUUUGCCAUUGCAGAAACUAUUGGCCAUCGGCGUUCAUACUUUCGCCAGAAGUCAACUACUUCUUCUGAAUUUUUCCUUAAUGCAUUGUUACUAGGCCAAUUAUGAUUAAAGUAAUCAAGUAAUUCAGCAGGCAACGCAUUUUGACUAGUACAUGCAGUAGAAGACAAACUACUAUGACUGGAGGAAUCAUAUGCAUUUCCAAUUUGACCAUAUCUAUAUGAGUUCAUAUCUUCAAAUAAAUUUAAAAUUUCAGCGUCGUCAUCUCCUAAAUUAGUGGGAGGAGUACUUGUAGAGCCCAAGGGUACACGAGUAACUUGUGUACCCAUUCGUGAAGCAUAUAUUACAUACAUUUCAGAUAAAGUUGCUUCCAAAUUCCUAUAGGUAAUAGGUAUGUUAAAAGUUAAAGAUUCUGACAUUCGCUCAAUUAUAAAUUUAGUACCAGAUAAAUUAUAUUGGGGGUCCAUGAUGCAUGCUAACGGAAAUAAAAUGGGCAAGUCUUCUCAAUAUUUUCUAAACUUUAAUUCCAUGACAUUUAUAACUGAACUAAAAUCGGGGUCAUUUUUAAAUCUAUCAAAAGCCCUAACAACUAGAUAAAGACGUUGAAGGACCAUACAACUAGUAGGAUAAUAAACACUAGACAAAAUAUUUGUAGCAUCAUAAAAACUUUUCAAAAAAUGUUUAAUUUUAGUAACUAAAAUCCAAUCGGACUCAAUCAAAACAGUUUCCUCGUCAUCUCUAAAAUGCCUACUGUUAUAAAAUUCAGUAAUUAAAUGUUCGAAACCUUCACAUGAUUUUAAUAAUAAAUAUGUGGAGUUCCAUCUAUGCGCUACGUCACUAAUAAAAGUUUUUGAAUGCGACACCCCAUGUUCGGCAUAAAAGUCCUCAAAUGCUUGUUUUCUACUAGGUGAAAUAGUAAUAUAAAUUAGUGCAUCCCUAAUUCAUUGAAUUUCAUCCUUAACAUGUUUUAAACCAUCUGUACUAUUAAAUUUAAAAUAUGACAUACACAUCGAAUAUGAAAUAAAAAACCACCAAAUUCAGGUUGAAGUACUCUUUGCAAUUUCUCGAUAACAGGCUUAUUUACAUUAGUGUUGUCGAACGUAAAAGAACGAAUUUUACUCUCGCAUUUAUAUUCUCUAAUAACAUUCAUAAUAGCACUAAAUAUAUUGGGAGCAUUGUGCGGGUACUCAAUAAUUUUAAAAGCAAUUAUUUUUUUAUGCAUGAUCCAAAGUGGGUCUAUAUAGUGUGCAGUUGCAGCCAUGUAACAUCUUUUAUUAAUCCCUUCCUAUAAAUCCGAAGUUAAAGAUAUUACACCCCCAUAUUUUUCUAAAUCGGCAAUCAAUGUUUUCUUUGCAUUUAAAAAAUAUUCUAUUGUAUCAGAACGAAGAGUAUUUCGACUUACCCCAGCAUACCUCGGUUGAAGACAUUCUUUGACAAAUGUAACGAAAUGUUGGUUGUCCGUUUGUGCUAGUGGCAACUCAGAUCCAGCAAUGUACUUCACCAUUCCUGUUCGAGUUCUUUCCUUCGAAUACAUCCACGUAUUAAGUGGCGUAGUAGUAGUAGCACCGCUGCCUGAAUUACCAAAUUGUAGUUGCGUUUGACCAGCAGGAAGAAGACCAUGUUUGGCCGUACAUGCUUUGUAGUGACGGUUGAGGUGGGUGGUUCCAAUGCCUUUUUGAUGAGCUAAUCGUUGUUGACAGUAUUUACAUACUGCUUUGGUUUCUGGAAUUCCAUCGACCAUACGACCAGUUUGAACCAAUUUAAAAUGAUCUCAACAUUUUGCAUGCUUCUUUACCUUUCUCUUCCCUCUUGCAUCGGGAAUUUCAAUAACAGGUUCAUCAUCCUAUUCCAAAUCAAUUGGAGCCUCAGCAUCAACGUCAUCCAAAUUAAUUUGAUGACUACUUUCAUGAACAUUGUAAUCUUUAAUAUUUUCUGGAAUGGGUACUUCAUUUAGACCGGCAAACUCAUUCCCAUAUUGAUUCCCAUAUUGAUUAUGGGACACAUUUGCUUCAUUUCCGACUCCGACAUCGAACAAGUUUUCAAUAAAUGAGCGUGAAUCCAUUUGUGAUUAAUUGAAAUUAAAUGUUGAAGAAAAAGAAGUGAAGUAGAAUUGAGAAAUUAAUGAAGAUUAUGUAGUAGUGUAGAAACUAUAUUGUAAAAUCAAGAUUAUAAUUUAAUGAUAUGAAUAUAAAAUGUAGAAGAGUAUAGAAAUGAGAAUGAAUGAAUAAUAUUGAUAAUAAUUGAGUUGUAGAGAGUAUAGUAGAGAAUAAGAGAUUGAUAGUAAGUUUGGUCAGAAAAAAUGUUGUAAUUGAUGGGUAUUUAUAGGAAGAAAAUGAAAUUUGAAAAAAAAUUAUCAGGGACCAAAACGAUCACUGACAAAGCAAAGUUCAAUGACCGUUUGGUCAAAAGUGACCGAACGGAAGUUCAGUGAUCGUUCUGGUCACUGAAAUAAUUUUUUUUUUUUGGACGAGCCACGAGCUGGGAAGUUGCAAUGUUCAACGUUCACAAAAGACGAUUGGGGCAAGAUCAAUCAAGAUAUGAUUGUUGCCACAAAAUCUGUUUACGGGAUAGAGAAAUUGAAGGGUAAGUGGAAUCGUUUGCGUAAGAUGCAUCGCUUGUUCUAUGACCUUUUAGGGCAUACGGGUGUUAUAUGGGAUCCAAAUACCAACCAAGUGAAUGCCACAGAAGAAGUUUGGCAACUUUUUUUCAUGAUUUGUGUUGUAAAAGAAAAUUUUUAGCAUUACUUAUUUAUGAUAUCAUUUUUUGUUUAACAUUUUGCUUCACUAUUAAUGUAGGUUUUUUUUAUAUUGUAGAUAAACAAGAGCGACUAUAAGACAUUUAGGAGGGAAGGAUAUAAGCAUUACGAAUUGCUUGGAGAGAUUUUAGCGGGACUACAGUUACUGAAAGUCUGGGCCAUGUUUCUACUUAGCUUCCUCCAACUUCAGAGGAAGAAAGAAGGGUAGAAGAUGAGUUUUUGAGCAGGGGAGUGCAUGUACAUGUGGAGAAUGAUGACGAUGAAGUUUCAAAUAUUCGUCAACGUGAUGAUACUACACCUAACAAACAUCGACAUAAGGAACCUAAAAUCAAUAAAAGAGAAAAACUUGAGAAAUGUAUGGCUCAAUGGUCAUCUACUGUUAGUAUGAGGAAUGAGGAAACAGAAAUAAGGAUGCUAUACCUUAAAGAAAAGCUUGCGCACAUCCAAGAAAAAUCAUCUAAUCACGAGGGCACUAGUGAAGUCAUUAGUCCAGAUCCUUAUUCAAAUAUGGUGUGUUUCAACAUCUUAAACAACAUGGAAGGAGUGUCCAACGAAGUUUAUAUGAAAGCAAUAAAAGCUUUUAAGGAUGCAGUUUUCAGGAUAACAUUUAUAAAGAUGCCAAAAAUUAGGAGAGGACCUAUCUUAGAACUUCUUUGAUUUGCCUAAUUAGUCGGACUGAGUAUUUUGAGCUUAUAAUGUAGGAUUGUAUUCUUUUUAUAUAUUGACUAUGAACUUUGUAAUUCUCAAUAUUUACUACUAGUUUUAUUUUAAUCAAUAUUGAUUUUGGUAUUUAUAUUUGUUGGAGUAUUUUUAUAAAUGAUUAUGGUAAGUACAUAGAUGAUAUGAGCGACAAUGACUUAUUAUGUAUGAAUGAUUUCGAUACGAUUGGUGGAG
This 5714-nucleotide long non-coding RNA is filed under the name Olea europaea subsp. europaea. The record is from RNAcentral. Lineage: Eukaryota; Viridiplantae; Streptophyta; Magnoliopsida; Lamiales; Oleaceae.